CCCGUGACCACAACGCGGGGGAACCCCCCGGGAGCGCGGAGCCCGCCCCACCGCGCAGGUGAGCGGGGCUCACCGGCUCACCCGCUCCCCCCUCCACUUCCCCGGGCUGCCACGCCUUUGUCUCCGGUCUUUGUCUGUCCCGUCCGUGCCCGGGGCGGGGACCGCUGCUGCCACCAGCACCCUGCACUCUCGCACCCACCUCCUCCUUAGCGCCGGGCUGCCCCGCAGCACGCUCCCCUGGCAUGCCCCUGCACUCCCCCCGCACGGCCGGAGCCCCUCCGCCCCUCCCAGCCCCACCUCCUCCCGCACCAUGCACCCCGGUCCCCCGGGAUUCCCGACGUCCCCGGUUCCUCUCCACAUUCCCCCACUGCCUUCCCCCUGUCUCCUCCUCCUCCUCCUCCUCCUCUCGGGUUUGAACACCCCUUGCCCCCCGCAGACCUGCCUCCCCUCCGCCGCUCGCACAGCUCUGCCGUGCCCUGCCCUGCCCUGCCCUGCCCUGCCUGCCGGGCUCCGCCAGACCGGCACCUCCGCACAGGUAGUUGCCAAUAAAAUAGUAUUUCUAGCAUUAUGCCUUCAGCAAGUGAGCUUCCCAGUGCCUCCUAAAUCAGCCCUCAAGGAACAGUUUAUUGUCUUUUAUGGCCAGUAGAAAGACCUGCUUUUUGAAAACUGCAUGAAAAGAAGGCCCCUGUGCUGCCUGCCUAUUUCCAGGGAAUGGCUGAACUGAAAACAUGUUCCCAGGCUAUGAACAGCAACAGAGAGGAAACUUGGAAAGAUUUGGAAAGAAGGAUUGGCUGGUGAGUGCAUGAGCAGGGCUUUGUCAAGUAACAGGAUGAAGUCAUCUCUCUCUUAACUCCAGGAUGCUGGGCUGCUGUGAUGGCAGAGUUUCCACUGACUCAAAAUUCUCCACAUCUGUCUCUCAGGCUGAAAGAAAAGGAGAAAGGAAGAGCCCAGGCUACUCCUAGGGUAUCUUCUGUCAACUCCACAAAAAUUGGAGUCAGAAUUGGCCUCAAAGGCUGUUACCUGCUGCCCUUCACAGGUGACAAUGGCUGGUCUGUCGUGGUUUGAUAGUGCCCAAACACCAGGCACCCACAAAUAUUGUUUGCUCACCCUCUUAUGCUAAAGUUGGGCAGAGGAGAGGGGAAAAAAAAAUCACAAAGCUCAUGAGUUAAGGAUUGGGAGGAAAACACUCAAAGGGUGAAACAGAUUCAAAUUUAAAGGUAUAAGGUAUAAAAGGUUAUUAACAGAGUCAGAGGAGGACAAUGAGAAGUAAAAGCCUUUAAAACACCUUUUCCCCUCCCCAGCCCUUCUGUCUUUCCCACUGACAGCGCAGGGAGACAGGGCAUGGAGGUUUUGGUCAGUUC
Molecule: long non-coding RNA, 1361 nt
Filed under: Parus major (Great Tit)
Lineage: Eukaryota; Metazoa; Chordata; Aves; Passeriformes; Paridae
Description: lncRNA (ENSPMJG00000006073.1)
Source: RNAcentral